GCGCACUUAGCUCAGUGGUAAGAGCAUCACUCUUGAAUGUUGAGAUUGCAGGUUCAAUUCCUGCAGUGCAAA
Molecule: transfer RNA, 72 nt
Filed under: Phakopsora pachyrhizi
Lineage: Eukaryota; Fungi; Basidiomycota; Pucciniomycetes; Pucciniales; Phakopsoraceae
Description: tRNA-Ser
Rfam family: tRNA
About the family: Transfer RNA (tRNA) molecules are approximately 80 nucleotides in length. Their secondary structure includes four short double-helical elements and three loops (D, anti-codon, and T loops).
Source: RNAcentral